GGAAUGGAUGGAUUAUCUGUAAAAUCCGGCAGUGGUCCAAAACACUUGGAACUUCUUGUCCAAUGGACCACCAAAGAAGAAGGAAAAUGUCCUGGAGCAAUUUGGUACAGUGAUGAACCAGAUAUGUCAUUGUUCUCUCCUCAAGAUUUCAAUGCCGUAUCUGCGUACUUUAGAGCUUUUGACAAACUGUCGAGGAAAGGAAUCAUUCAACCGGGCGAGAGCAACACAAGGCUCCGUGAUAUCGUUUAUGAUGAGUUGAAAAAUUUCAACGCUCCUACGUCGAAAAAUGGUUUUGAAAGUGCGACAGGUCUUCCUUCAUAUUUUGACGAAAAUUAAGAUGCUCCACCGUACUAUGACAUCAAAAAUUUUGCGAACAAAAAGUGGGUUACUGUUGGCUAUUGGGAACGUACUAGAUUGUUGUCGCUUCAACCCGGCAAGAUAAGAUGGCCUGGCGACACGAUGC
Long non-coding RNA from Xenia sp. Carnegie-2017, 463 nucleotides. RefSeq lists it as uncharacterized. The transcript is spliced from 5 exons. The record is from RefSeq and is a predicted model, not a curated record. NCBI's taxonomy places the organism in Eukaryota, Metazoa, Cnidaria, Anthozoa, Malacalcyonacea, Xeniidae.